CUGGUGUUCUGAAGUUGAUUUGUUUAUAAUCAAAUGUUUUUAUGUUUAUUCUCCUUAAAACAUAAUAGACGGAGACCAGCUGCGUGGCAGCAGGAGCAAAUGUUUGUUGUGAUGAGGCGUAUACCACCAUCACGAAUGCUGCAAUUGCAGUCACCACCACCACUAAUGGUCCACCACUUCUGCCACCACCAUCAGUUCUGCGAAUGCCACCACCACCACCAAGUCUGCUUCUGCCCUCGCCAUUGACAACGCCACUACCAAGAUCAUUCCUGACACAAAGCCUCCAAGUCCUCAACUGACCAGCUAUUGCAGCUGGAGAAGGAUAGACCCGCAACUUCAAAGCCAGGGCUUGCUGGUCUCCUACAAUAAGAAAAGUGCCUGGGGCCAAUCUGAUGAACGUGUACUUGUAGCACAAUAUUUGGCCACAGUUGUAGAAAUACAGAGACUAACAUGCAGCCACAGGUGGGGCUUUGUCCGCAUUUCCAGAAAGACACAAGAUAGUAUCAGAAAGCCAUGCCAAAUUUAAUGACUGAAGGGUUUGGAGAGCCUGACAAAGAGCCUAGAAAUGUGAUUUAACCCGUACUUCAAUCACAUGAACAGCAGCAGGAGCAAAAACAGCAUCAACCUCACAGGAGAUGUAACGACAGCAUUGACCAACAGCAACAACAACAGCA
Molecule: long non-coding RNA, 674 nt
Organism: Lytechinus pictus (painted urchin)
Lineage: Eukaryota; Metazoa; Echinodermata; Echinoidea; Temnopleuroida; Toxopneustidae
Exons: 3
Source: RefSeq, a predicted model, not a curated record